AUUGAACGCUGGCGGCAUGCUUUACACAUGCAAGUCGAACGGUAACAGGUUAAGCUGACGAGUGGCGAACGGGUGAGUAAUGCAUCGGAACGUGCCCGGUCGUGGGGGAUAACGCAGCGAAAGCUGCGCUAAUACCGCAUACGAUCUGAGGAUGAAAGCGGGGGGCCGUAAGGCCUCGCGCGAUCGGAGCGGCCGAUGUCAGAUUAGGUAGUUGGUGGGGUAAAGGCUCACCAAGCCGACGAUCUGUAGCUGGUCUGAGGGGACGACCAGCCACACUGGGACUGAGACACGGCCCAGACUCCUACGGGAGGCAGCAGUGGGGAAUUUUGGACAAUGGGCGCAAGCCUGAUCCAGCAAUGCCGCGUGCAGGAAGAAGGCCUUCGGGUUGUAAACUGCUUUUGUACGGAGCGAAAAGGCUCUCUCUAAUACGGAGGGCUCAUGACGGUACCGUAAGAAUAAGCACCGGCUAACUACGUGCCAGCAGCCGCCGUAA
RNAcentral lists this ribosomal RNA (493 nucleotides) under uncultured bacterium. Its description in RNAcentral is "partial 16S ribosomal RNA". It matches the Rfam family "Bacterial small subunit ribosomal RNA", at positions 29 to 523 of the family's 1533-position model. The record is from RNAcentral.